Molecule: long non-coding RNA, 1150 nt
Organism: Cucumis melo (muskmelon)
Lineage: Eukaryota; Viridiplantae; Streptophyta; Magnoliopsida; Cucurbitales; Cucurbitaceae
Exons: 3
Source: RefSeq, a predicted model, not a curated record
UCUUGUUUAGGUAUACUUUCAGGCAGAUGAGGUUCAUGCCUGCACUGUGACAUGCUGCGGUCUUUGCCCCGAACUCAAUAUUGUGAUCAGGGAGCUAGUAUGUGGUUUAUACAAUAUGUAUGGUGUCAAGAAGGUUCUUGAAACUGAAUGUGGAUAUAUAGGUUUCUAUUCUAAAAAUACCAUAAAUUUGACUUCAAAGUUCGUUAAUGAUAUCCAUAAAUGGGUGGAACUGUCAUUGGGACAUCAAGAGGUGGUCAUGAUACCUCAAAGAUAGUUGACAGUAUUCAAGAUCAUGGCAUCAAUCAGGUGUGAAUAUUAUCUUUUUGCAAUUUUGAUGGAAAUUAGAUUCGUAGAUAUGUUUUAUACAAUUUAUGUAUUAAACUGCAAAAUUCAAAUUCUUGGAUCUUUGUUCAUUUCUUUAAUUCCCUCAAGUUUAUAUAAUUGGUGGAGAUGGAAAUCAGAAGGAGCAGUUGUUAUAUAUAAGGUAACAUGGUGAAUGAUGCUCUAUAAGCAAUAAAACUUGGUUCUUUAGUGUUCUAUAUUAUUGUUUUUUUUUCUUGAUGCACAAUACAGAAUGUUAAUCUCAAGUUGCUCAUUCUCUUUUUAUUAUGUGGUUCUCUUUCAGAAGUUAGAAGGAAAGGGCUCAAUGUUUCAGUUGUUGAGAUCCCGAAAACCAUCGAUAAUGACAUACCGGUCAUUGACAAGUCAUUUGGCUUUGACACUAUUGUUGAAAAGGCUCAGUGGGAUAUAAAUACAGCCCAUGUUGAAUCCGAAAGUAAGGAGAAUGGUAUAGAGCUUCUGAAGUUGAUGGGUAGCUAUUGUGAUAAGUUUGUGGCUUUAGAAAAAAGCUCGCUUAGGUCGCUAUAGCAUUUAUGGAGUCUUUUUUUUAAAAUAAUGCAUUUUUUAAAAGUAAUGUCAAAAAUAAGAUAUUUUGGACGAAAUUGUAUAUCCGGUACACGAUUUUGCUUGGAAGUCGUGAACGGGUCCACAACUUCAAUGUGUGAACCCCACAAUUUCUUUUUUUUUUUUUUAAAGAUAUUUUAAUAUAUAUAUUUAAAUAUUCAAAUCUCUAAAUUCCAAUUUCCAAAAAUAUAUUCAAAUCUCUAAAUUCCAAUUUCCAAAAAUAUCUUUCUUAUUAAAUAUUUUUCUA